GACGAACGCUGGCGGCGUGCCUAAUACAUGCAAGUAGAACGCACAGUUUAUACCGUAGCUUGCUACACCAUAAACUGUGAGUUGCGAACGGGUGAGUAACGCGUAGGUAACCUGCCUGGUAGCGGGGGAUAACUAUUGGAAACGAUAGCUAAUACCGCAUAAUAUUAAUUAUUGCAUGAUAAUUGAUUGAAAGAUGCAAUUGCAUCACUACCAGAUGGACCUGCGUUGUAUUAGCUAGUAGGUGAGGUAACGGCUCACCUAGGCGACGAUACAUAGCCGACCGGGGGGGGGGGUCGGCCACACUGGGAGUGAGACACGGCCCAGACUCCUACGGGAGGCAGCAGUAGGGAAUCUUCGGCAAUGGGCGAAAGUCUGACCGAGCAACGCCGCGGGAGUGAAGAAGGUUGUCGGGUCGUAAAGCUCUGUUGUAAGAGAAGAACGGGUGUGAGAGUGGAAAGUUCACACUGUGACGGUAGCUUACCAGAAAGGGACGGCUAACUACGUG
This 505-nucleotide ribosomal RNA is filed under the name uncultured bacterium. RNAcentral describes it as "partial 16S ribosomal RNA". It matches the Rfam family "Bacterial small subunit ribosomal RNA", at positions 28 to 507 of the family's 1533-position model. The record is from RNAcentral.